AAGAUUCAAUUGAUUUAUUGAAGAGUUUCUAUAUUAAAUACAAACAUAAAAUGCAAAUAUUUAAACAAAACGGUGUUAAAAAAAUUCCAGUAGUAUAACACACUAACACCUGUGUGGUAUCCACUAAACCCACACUAAAUAAUAAAACAAACUAUUGUAUGUAAUUUUUAUAAAAUGCAUAUAAACAUGGUGUCAACAUCUUCCUUACAAUAGAUUAGAUCAUACAGAGCAAGAAAAAUACUUUAAAAGUAGUUUGAUUUGUGGAAGCCAUCGUUCUAAUGGUGUCCAUCUUCAACUCCUGGUACUUCCAUCUGCCAUAAGCCUAAGUCACAGAGGAACAUACAAGACCACAUUCCUCAUAACACAAUUGUGUCAAAUUUGAACUUUACCAUAAGACAUUUGUCUUCGAUCUCUUCUGAAACCCGAAUGCAAUCAAUACCACCAUUUCAUAAAAGGUGUAUAUUUCUAGAACAAAUCUGAAGUGACUGUCUUUAGGGAUGCUACAAAGAGGAAGCAAGCAAAACUGGGUAGUAUGUUAGUAAAAGGGACUCUCUAGGCAACAAGUUAUGCAUUUGACUGGGGAGGGGAUGCUUUGCAACAAUGCUCCCUUCCUGCCCACAAGGCAAGUUUUAGAUUGUUGCCAACAGUGGCAGUACAAAUAUACUCACAUUAAAGGACCACUAUAGUGCCAGGAAAACACUUGUUUUCCUGGCACUAUAGUGCCCUGAGGGUGCCCCCACCCGGCUCUGGAAGGGGGAAAGGGGUAAAAAAAAAAAAAAACUUACCUUUUUCCAGCACUGGGCGGGGGAGCUCUCCUCCUCCAUUGCAGCUGAAUGCACACACGCGGCAAGAGCUGCGCGCGUAUUCAGCCGUCACAUAGGAAAGCAUUAUUAAUGCUUUCCUAUGGACG
Non-coding RNA from Pelobates cultripes (western spadefoot toad), 910 nucleotides. Lineage: Eukaryota; Metazoa; Chordata; Amphibia; Anura; Pelobatidae. The record is from the annotation of a GenBank genome assembly.